Molecule: ribosomal RNA, 484 nt
Filed under: uncultured bacterium
Lineage: Bacteria
Description: partial 16S ribosomal RNA
Rfam family: Bacterial small subunit ribosomal RNA
Source: RNAcentral
GACGAACGCUGGCGGCGUGCUUAACACAUGCAAGUCGAACGGUGAAGCAGGAGCUUGCUCUUGUGGAUCAGUGGCGAACGGGUGAGUAACACGUGAGCAACCUGCCCCUGACUCUGGGAUAAGCGCUGGAAACGGCGUCUAAUACUGGAUAUGUGAUGUGACCGCAUGGUCUGCAUCUGGAAAGAAUUUCGGUUGGGGAUGGGCUCGCGGCCUAUCAGCUUGUUGGUGAGGUAAUGGCUCACCAAGGCGUCGACGGGUAGCCGGCCUGAGAGGGUCGCCGGCCACACUGGGACUGAGACACGGGCCAGACUCCUACGGGAGGCAGCAGUGGGGAAUAUUGCACAAUGGGCGGAAGCCUGAUGCAGCAACGCCGCGUGAGGGAUGACGGCCUUCGGGUUGUAAACCUCUUUUAGCAGGGAAGAAGCGAAAGUGACGGUACCUGCAGAAAAAGCACCGGCUAACUACGUGCCAGCCGCCGCCGUAA